RNAcentral lists this unclassified non-coding RNA (335 nucleotides) under soil metagenome. RNAcentral's name for it is "partial contains 5.8S ribosomal RNA, internal transcribed spacer 2, and large subunit ribosomal RNA". The stretch from base 1 to 120 matches the Rfam family "5.8S ribosomal RNA", at positions 35 to 154 of the family's 154-position model. The record is from RNAcentral.
GAUGAAGAACGCAGCGAAAUGCGAUAAGUAAUAUGAAUUGCAGAAUUCAGUGAAUCAUCGAAUCUUUGAACGCACAUUGCGCCCAUUAGUAUUCUAGUGGGCAUGCCUGUUCGAGCGUCAUUUCAACCCUUAAGCCUAGCUUAGUAUUGGGAAUCGACUUUACUGUCGUUCCUCAAAUUCAACGGCGGAUUUAUAGCAAUCUCUGAACGUAGUAAUUUUUUUCCUCGUUUUUGAAAUACUAUAAACCUCAGCCGCUAAACCCCCAAUUCUUUUAUGGUUGACCUCGGAUCAGGUAGGAAUACCCGCUGAACUUAAGCAUAUCAAUAAGCGGAGGA